GACGAACGCUGGCGGCGUGCUUAACACAUGCAAGUCGAACGGAAAGGCCCUGCUUUUGUGGGGUGCUCGAGUGGCGAACGGGUGAGUAACCCGUGAGUAACCUGCCCUUGACUUUGGGAUAACUUCAGGAAACUGUGGCUAAUACCGGAUAGGAGCCCCUGCUGCAUGGUGGGGGUUGGAAAGUUUCGGCGGUUGGGGAUGGACUCGCGGCUUAUCAGCUUGUUGGUGGGGUAGUGGCUUACCAAGGCUUUGACGGGUAGCCGGCCUGAGAGGGUGGCCGGCCACAUUGGGACUGAGAUACGGCCCAGACUCCUACGGGAGGCAGCAGUGGGGAAUAUUGCACAAUGGGCGGAAGCCUGAUGCAGCAACGCCGCGUGCGGGAUGACGGCCUUCGGGUUGUAAACCGCUUUCGCCUGUGACGAAGCGUGAGUGACGGUAAUGGGUAAAGAAGCACCGGCUAACUACGUG
RNAcentral lists this ribosomal RNA (468 nucleotides) under uncultured bacterium. Its description in RNAcentral is "partial 16S ribosomal RNA". It matches the Rfam family "Bacterial small subunit ribosomal RNA", at positions 28 to 507 of the family's 1533-position model. The record is from RNAcentral.